RNAcentral lists this long non-coding RNA (1742 nucleotides) under Salmo salar (Atlantic salmon). Its description in RNAcentral is "lncRNA (ENSSSAG00000113581.1)". The record is from RNAcentral. Lineage: Eukaryota; Metazoa; Chordata; Actinopteri; Salmoniformes; Salmonidae.
ACUUUCUUUAUGCCACGAAAUCUAAAGGUAGAAAUCUCAUGUUUUAGGUCAUUAAAAUGGACUGCGACUGGAUAAUCCCUGUCGUUUCGCCUGAUUGAGCUUUUAUGUUCACUAAUUCUCUGUUUGAGAGAGCGGGAGGUCUUACCGACAUAGCAGAGCCCACAUGGGCAUUUAAUAAUGUAAAUAACAUGGGUGGUGGAACACGUAAUGGUAUCAUUUAUUUGAAACCGUUUUCCUGUGUGGGGGUGGCAGGAAUAUUCACACUUCAUCAUAUUGUUGCACUGUGCGCAUCCUCUGCAUUUAUAGCUACCAUUUGGUAGAGGGCGUAAAAGAGCCUGGCUGAUUUUCUUUUGUGGCUGGCAGUUGGCAUGAACCAAUUUAUCGCGUAAAUUGCGACCUCUCCUAUACACAAUAAGUGAUGGAUUUUUAAAUUCAGCCGGCAAAGCUGGGUGCGAUGAUAAAAUAUGCCGGUGUUUCUUGACCGCAUCUCCCACUUUUCGCGAAUUCAAACUAUAUGUGGUUGUGAACAUUACGGAGUGUUCUUUUGCUUUAGCGGGUCUUUUUUUGUAACAAUUCAUCUCGUGUUUUUCCCAAUGCCAAAUUAAGAGCUUCAUCCACACAUUGUGGCGAAUAGCCGCUUCUUAGAAACCUAAUGCGCAUCUCCGCUGCUUUUGCUAGAUAAUGCUCUGUGGAGUGGCAUAUAUGGCGCAGUCUGAAAAACUGGCUUCUUGGAAGUCCUCGUUUUAAUGGCUCAGGAUGAAAGCUGUCCCCCUGUAAUAGACUGGUUCUGUCCGUUUCUUUUCUAUACAGAGUUGUAAACAGGGUUCCAUUUGAUUUCUCAAUCCACAUAUCGAGGUAAUGACCGCGUUGAGUGUCACAUUCAAUGGUGAAUUUGAGAUUGGGGUCAAUGUCAUUGAGUAGUGCCAUACAAUCUGACAGCUCUUGUUCAAUUCCUUCCCAUAUGCAAAAAAAAUUCGUCAAUAUAUCGAUACCACUUCAGGAUUUUAUUCAAAAAUGGGUUUUCGUUUUCAUUAUUGACAAAACGUUCUUCAAAUAGACCCACAUAAAGGUUAGCGUAGCUCGGAGCGAAUGUGGAGCCCAUCGAUGUUCCAUUCGUUUGGAGGUAGUAUUCAUCAUCAAACCUAAAAUAGUUAUACGUCAAAACAUAUUCUGCCAGCUCUAGAAUAAAGUUUGUUGGUGUAUAUUCAUUAGUAUCUCUGUCUCCCAAAUAGUGAGCUAGUGCUGCCAGCCCCUCCACAUGGGGAAUGCUGGUAUAUAGACUCUCCACAUCUAAUGUGACCAAAAUACAGUCUUCUGUUAAACCCGUUAUUGGACAAUAACCCAACACACCUCCAGGCUGUGUAAGGGCUAUUUGACCAAGAAGGAGAGUGAUGGAGUGCUGCAUCAGAUGACCUGGCCUCCACAAUCACCUGACCUCAACCCAAUUGAGAUGGUUUGGGAUGAGUUGGACCGCAGAGUGAAGGAAAAGCAGCCAGCAAGUGCUCAGCAUAUGUAGGAACUCCUUCAACACUGUUGGAAAAGUAUUCUAGGUGAAGCUGGUUGAGAGAAUGCCAAGAGUGUGCAAAGCUGUCAACAAGGCAAAGGGUGGCUACUUAGAAAAAUCUCAAAUUAAAAUUAUUUUGAGUUGUUUAACACUUUUUUGGUUGUGUCCAUUAUCUUAUCUACAUACUUUAUAUCUGGUUUUAGUUGUUAAAAGUUUACACUGAACUGUUUUUUUUGUU